GAUGAACGCUGGCGGCGUGCCUAAUACAUGCAAGUCGAGCGAACAGAUGAGGAGCUUGCUCCUCUGACGUUAGCGGCGGACGGGUGAGUAACACGUGGAUAACCUACCUAUAAGACUGGGAUAACUUCGGGAAACCGGAGCUAAUACCGGAUAAUAUAUUGAACCGCAUGGUUCAAUAAUGAAAGACGGUUUUGCUGUCACUUAUAGAUGGAUCCGCGCCGCAUUAGCUAGUUGGUAAGGUAACGGCUUACCAAGGCAACGAUGCGUAGCCGACCUGAGAGGGUGAUCGGCCACACUGGAACUGAGACACGCUCCCGACUACUACGGGAGGCAGCAGUAGGGAAUCUUCCGCAAUGGGCGAAAGCCUGACGGAGCAACGCCGCGUGAGUGAUGAAGGUCUUCGGAUCGUAAAACUCUGUUAUUAGGGAAGAACAAAUGUGUACGUAACUAUGCACGUCUUGACGGUACCUAAUCAGAAAGCCACGGCUAACUACGUG
Molecule: ribosomal RNA, 497 nt
Filed under: uncultured bacterium
Lineage: Bacteria
Description: partial 16S ribosomal RNA
Rfam family: Bacterial small subunit ribosomal RNA
Source: RNAcentral